Molecule: ribosomal RNA, 253 nt
Filed under: uncultured bacterium
Lineage: Bacteria
Description: partial 16S ribosomal RNA
Rfam family: Bacterial small subunit ribosomal RNA
Source: RNAcentral
UACAGAGGUGGCAAGCGUUGUUCGGAAUUACUGGGCGUAAAGGGCGCGUAGGCGGUUCGCUAAGUCCCGCGUGAAAUCCCCCGGCUCAACCGGGGAACUGCGCGGGAAACUGGCGGGCUUGAGUUCGGGAGAGGGAAGCGGAAUUCCGGGUGUAGCGGUGAAAUGCGUAGAUAUCCGGAGGAACACCGGUGGCGAAGGCGGCGUCCUGGACCGACACUGACGCUGAGGCGCGAAAGCUAGGGGAGCAAACGGG